CGCCUUUGACAAAGGAUUUUGGUCAAAAUAAGAAUGAACGUUAAUUAAAUCAUUUCCUAUUAUAUGUUUUACCGUAAGAAAUUUAUUUUUGGAAAGGUAUUAUUAUAAUAUUCACUAAUGGCACGCGAGUUAAGACAACUCUUUGAAUUUAACAAUACAAGCUGCCAAGUGGCUACCUUUUCCUUAUAUACGCCCACACUUCGAAAUUUUGUUUCCAAACAAUCUGAACUUCUAAUAUUGGCUUCAUCUAGAUUGUUACUAAAUCUCGUGAUUUUAAUGACUUCUUGUUCUGAUUCUAAAAAUGACAUCGUAUAUUGGGUUUCUUUUAUCAUAAAGAGCACUCGCCCUUCCGAAACCGCAAGACACAUGACAACAUGCUUGCCUACAUAUUAUAUAUUUUAUAUUAUAAAGUGUAUAAUAUAUUAUUACUGACAGUACAAACUAGAAACUGUGUGGGGUUCAAUGCACGAAGCCGUAGGCUGGACUGACGCUAGCCAAGGGCCAAUAAAGCGCGCAAUUAUUAGCCAUUCCGCAG
Paramuricea clavata is the source of this 535-nucleotide non-coding RNA. The record is from the annotation of a GenBank genome assembly. Lineage: Eukaryota; Metazoa; Cnidaria; Anthozoa; Malacalcyonacea; Plexauridae.